Molecule: long non-coding RNA, 290 nt
Filed under: Sorghum bicolor (sorghum)
Lineage: Eukaryota; Viridiplantae; Streptophyta; Magnoliopsida; Poales; Poaceae
Description: long non-coding RNA (SBIC_LNC016016)
Source: RNAcentral
AGUUGUCGACUACUUUGCCCGCCAUUGCUUAUGGAUCUAAUUUGGAGAGCUUUACGGGAAAGAGGUGGCUGGUUAUGGGAUACUAUUGAGGAGGGUCUAGGUACGUAUUUAUAUGGGUUUUCAGAAGACGUGAUGAUGACGGGAUUCUAGGCUUUACAGGAUUUGUAUGAAGGAAUAUCCGAUUACGACUGGACUAUGCGCGAAUAUUCAAAUGAAGAGUAUAGAAGAAUAGGGAACGAGAAUCAUGACAGGGGUGACGGGGGGCGCCGAUCGGCCCCAAUAGGGCACCG